UGGGGAAUAUUGGACAAUGGGCGAAAGCCUGAUCCAGCCAUGCCGCGUGUGUGAAGAAGGUCUUCGGAUUGUAAAGCACUUUAAGUUGGGAGGAAGGGCAUUAACCUAAUACGUUAGUGUUUUGACGUUACCGACAGAAUAAGCACCGGCUAACUCUGUGCCAGCAGCCGCGGUAAUACAGAGGGUGCAAGCGUUAAUCGGAAUUACUGGGCGUAAAGCGCGCGUAGGUGGUUUGUUAAGUUGGAUGUGAAAUCCCCGGGCUCAACCUGGGAACUGCAUUCAAAACUGACUGACUAGAGUAUGGUAGAGGGUGGUGGAAUUUCCUGUGUAGCGGUGAAAUGCGUAGAUAUAGGAAGGAACACCACUGGCGAAGGCGACCACCUGGACUAAUACUGACACUGAGGUGCGAAAGCGUGGGGAGCAAACA
RNAcentral lists this ribosomal RNA (427 nucleotides) under uncultured bacterium. RNAcentral's name for it is "partial 16S ribosomal RNA". It matches the Rfam family "Bacterial small subunit ribosomal RNA", at positions 355 to 774 of the family's 1533-position model. The record is from RNAcentral.